Molecule: long non-coding RNA, 612 nt
Organism: Neodiprion virginianus
Lineage: Eukaryota; Metazoa; Arthropoda; Insecta; Hymenoptera; Diprionidae
Exons: 4
Source: RefSeq, a predicted model, not a curated record
UAUCGCCUAAUUGCAGAUCCGUCUGACUGAUGUCGUCAGGCUGGCUAUGAUCUUGAGAAGGAAUCAAUGUUGCGACAAAAUCAAAUCUACCCGUGAAUACUUGCAUCAAAAAAGUAUAAAUCAUGCAACAAAGUACGAACAUUGAUUUCGACCUCGAUGUAAAUUCUCAGAGCGUCUACACGUUAUAUUGUUUCUUCAAAUUGAAUUCACACAAUGAAGAUUGUCAGAAAAUUUUUACAGGAAAUUUUCAUUUUACAGGACGGAAUUCAAUUCCUGUUAUCAAUGUCACUUUAUUACUGUUGUGCAUCAUGCUGAUUGAAAUACGCAUUUAGAUAUGUAUUAGGUUUGGAAUGAGUCCCCUUUGUGCUUCUUGGCAGUCUGAUUGUCAUCAUGACUUUCUGGAGUUUGUGUCGGCUUAAUGAGCCGUUAUAAGUUCACGUAUUCCAGAUUGAAAAUGGGAUUUUACCAGCAGCCUUUCAAGAAAUGUGCCACUGAUGAAUGACAAUUUUUUUACACAGUAAUACUAAUACCUUCAAUAUUACCAGGGAGUUGCCCGCUGAUAUUAAUCGCCUGUGGACCAAAAACUGCCUGUUCACUGGUUGGAGCUGCAGU